RNAcentral lists this ribosomal RNA (253 nucleotides) under uncultured bacterium. RNAcentral's name for it is "partial 16S ribosomal RNA". It matches the Rfam family "Bacterial small subunit ribosomal RNA", at positions 524 to 776 of the family's 1533-position model. The record is from RNAcentral.
UACGUAGGCAGCAAGCGUUGUUCGGAGUUACUGGGCGUAAAGGGCGCGUAGGCGGCCUUCUAAGUCAGACGUGAAAUCCCCCGGCUUAACCUGGGAACUGCGUCUGAUACUGGGAGGCUCGAGUAUGGGAGAGGGAUGUAGAAUUCCAGGUGUAGCGGUGAAAUGCGUAGAUAUCUGGAGGAAUACCGGUGGCGAAGGCGGCAUCCUGGGCCAACACUGACGCUCAUGCACGAAAGCGUGGGGAGCAAACAGG